Molecule: transfer RNA, 75 nt
Filed under: Diplospinus multistriatus (striped escolar)
Lineage: Eukaryota; Metazoa; Chordata; Actinopteri; Scombriformes; Gempylidae
Description: tRNA-Leu
Rfam family: tRNA
About the family: Transfer RNA (tRNA) molecules are approximately 80 nucleotides in length.
Source: RNAcentral
GUUGGAGUGGCAGAGCCCGGAGAAUUGCGAAAGGCCUAAGCCCUUUCUACAGAGGUUCAAAUCCUCUCCCCAACU